RNAcentral lists this small RNA (60 nucleotides) under Leptolyngbya iicbica LK. RNAcentral's name for it is "Leptolyngbya sp. LK Nitrogen stress-induced RNA 1". It matches the Rfam family "Nitrogen stress-induced RNA 1". The record is from Rfam by way of RNAcentral. Lineage: Bacteria; Bacillati; Cyanobacteriota; Cyanophyceae; Leptolyngbyales; Leptolyngbyaceae.
UGGUAGAUGCACCCUGAUUGUUGCCCCUGGACCUCGUUUGCGAGGCCCAGGGUUUUUUUU